RNAcentral lists this ribosomal RNA (1022 nucleotides) under uncultured bacterium. RNAcentral describes it as "bacterial SSU rRNA". It matches the Rfam family "Bacterial small subunit ribosomal RNA", at positions 480 to 1502 of the family's 1533-position model. The record is from RNAcentral.
UGCAGAAGAAGCCCCGGCUAAAUUCGUACCAGCAGCCGCGGUAAUACGGAGGGUGCGAGCGUUAAUCGGAAUUACUGGGCGUAAAGCGCAUGCAGGUGGUUUGUUAAGUCAGAUGUGAAAGCCCGGGGCUCAACCUCGGAAUUGCAUUUGAAACUGGCAAACUAGAGUACUGUAGAGGGGGGUAGAAUUUCAGGUGUAGCGGUGAAAUGCGUAGAGAUCUGAAGGAAUACCGGUGGCGAAGGCGGCCCCCUGGACAGAUACUGACACUCAGAUGCGAAAGCGUGGGGAGCAAACAGGAUUAGAUACCCUGGUAGUCCACGCCGUAAACGAUGUCUACUUGGAGGUUGUGGCCUUGAGCCGUGGCUUUCGGAGCUAACGCGUUAAGUAGACCGCCUGGGGAGUACGGUCGCAAGAUUAAAACUCAAAUGAAUUGACGGGGGCCCGCACAAGCGGUGGAGCAUGUGGUUUAAUUCGAUGCAACGCGAAGAACCUUACCUACUCUUGACAUCUACAGAAGCCAGCGGAGACGCAGGUGUGCCUUCGGGAACUGUAAGACAGGUGCUGCAUGGCUGUCGUCAGCUCGUGUUGUGAAAUGUUGGGUUAAGUCCCGCAACGAGCGCAACCCUUAUCCUUGUUUGCCAGCACUUCGGGUGGGAACUCCAGGGAGACUGCCGGUGAUAAACCGGAGGAAGGUGGGGACGACGUCAAGUCAUCAUGGCCCUUACGAGUAGGGCUACACACGUGCUACAAUGGCGCAUACAGAGGGCGGCCAACUUGCGAAAGUGAGCGAAUCCCAAAAAGUGCGUCGUAGUCCGGAUUGGAGUCUGCAACUCGACUCCAUGAAGUCGGAAUCGCUAGUAAUCGUGGAUCAGAAUGCCACGGUGAAUACGUUCCCGGGCCUUGUACACACCGCCCGUCACACCAUGGGAGUGGGCUGCAAAAGAAGUGGGUAGUUUAACCUUCGGGAGGACGCUCACCACUUUGUGGUUCAUGACUGGGGUGAAGUCGUAACAAGGUAACCG